UACAGAGGGUGCGAACGUUGCUCGGAAUUACUGGGCGUAAAGCGCGUGUAGGCGGGACCGCAAGUCAGAUGUGAAAUCCCCGGGCUCAACCCAGGAACUGCAUCUGAAACUGCGGACCUUGAGUACUGGAGAGGGUGGCGGAAUUCCUGGUGUAGAGGUGAAAUUCGUAGAUAUCAGGAGGAACACCGGUGGCGAAGGCGGCCACCUGGACAGUCACUGACGCUGAGACGCGAAAGCGUGGGGAGCAAAC
This 250-nucleotide ribosomal RNA is filed under the name uncultured bacterium. RNAcentral's name for it is "partial 16S ribosomal RNA". It matches the Rfam family "Bacterial small subunit ribosomal RNA", at positions 524 to 773 of the family's 1533-position model. The record is from RNAcentral.